GAUCGGGGACACCACUGGAAACGGUGGCUAAUACCGGAUGUGCCGAAAGGUGAAAGAUUUAUUGCCUAGAGAUGAGCUCGCGUCUGAUUAGCUAGUUGGUGUGGUAAGAGCGCACCAAGGCGACGAUCAGUAGCUGGUCUGAGAGGAUGAUCAGCCACACUGGGACUGAGACACGGCCCAGACUCCUACGGGAGGCAGCAGUGGGGAAUUUUCCGCAAUGGGCGAAAGCCUGACGGAGCAAUACCGCGUGAGGGAGGAAGGCUCUUGGGUUGUAAACCUCUUUUCUCAGGGAAUAAGAAAGUGAAGGUACCUGAGGAAUAAGCAUCGGCUAACUCCGUGCCAGCAGCCGCGGUAAUACGGAGGAUGCAAGCGUUAUCCGGAAUGAUUGGGCGUAAAGCGUCCGCAGGUGGCACUGUAAGUCUGCUGUUAAAGAGCAAGGCUCAACCUUGUAAAGGCGGUGGAAACUACAGAGCUAGAGUACGUUCGGGGCAGAGGGAAUUCCUGGUGUAGCGGUGAAAUGCGUAGAGAUCAGGAAGAACACCGGUGGCGAAAGC
RNAcentral lists this ribosomal RNA (554 nucleotides) under Trichormus variabilis BAC 9821. Its description in RNAcentral is "bacterial SSU rRNA". It matches the Rfam family "Bacterial small subunit ribosomal RNA", at positions 136 to 722 of the family's 1533-position model. The record is from RNAcentral. Lineage: Bacteria; Bacillati; Cyanobacteriota; Cyanophyceae; Nostocales; Nostocaceae.